UACGGGGGGGGCAAGCGUUGUUCGGAAUUACUGGGUGUAAAGGGCUCGUAGGCGGCCAACUAAGUCAGACGUGAAAUCCCUCGGCUUAACCGGGGAACUGCGUCUGAUACUGGAUGGCUUGAGAUUGGGAGAGGGAUGCGGAAUUCCAGGUGUAGCGGUGAAAUGCGUAGAUAUCUGGAGGAACACCGAUGGCGAAGGCAGGUCUCUGGGCCACUACUGACGCUGAGAAGCGAAAGCAUGGGGAGCGAACAGG
RNAcentral lists this ribosomal RNA (253 nucleotides) under uncultured bacterium. RNAcentral describes it as "partial 16S ribosomal RNA". It matches the Rfam family "Bacterial small subunit ribosomal RNA", at positions 524 to 776 of the family's 1533-position model. The record is from RNAcentral.